UCUUAACAAACACACAAUUCUUUGGUUUGGUAAUUGAAAUCAGACCAAUAAAAUCAUAAUUAAUUUUUUUGAUUUUGACCCACCUUGUUAAACCCUUUUCAACAGUUGAAAAAAUAUGAAUUAACGCUUCAAAAUUUAAAACUUUUUUCAACUACACAUACACAAGUAGUUAAAUUAAAAAUUUAUGAGACUCAUGCUAUGUUAUAAAGUGUGUGCAAAGUACAAACACAUAGAUAAUAAAAAAAAAAAAAAACAGAGAGAUAGAGUUUACCUAAGAAAGAAGAAAGGAGAGGUUGAAAGAGAAAGAGGAUAGUUGGGUGCUUGGUGGGUAUUCAUAGUCAUAGAUAGAGGAAGAAGAAUAUGCUACAGUGAGUACAUAGUAAGUGAUGUA
RNAcentral lists this long non-coding RNA (391 nucleotides) under Medicago truncatula (barrel medic). RNAcentral describes it as "long non-coding RNA (MTRU_LNC006718)". Lineage: Eukaryota; Viridiplantae; Streptophyta; Magnoliopsida; Fabales; Fabaceae. The record is from RNAcentral.